GACGAACGCNGGCGGCGUGCUUAACACAUGCAAGUCGAACGAAGAGCGACGGAAGCUUGCUUCUAUCAAUCUUAGUGGCGAACGGGUGAGUAACGCGUAAUCAACCUGCCCUUCAGAGGGGGACAACAGUUGGAAACGACUGCUAAUACCGCAUACGAUCUAAUCUCGGCAUCGAGGAUGGAUGAAAGGUGGCCUCUACAUGUAAGCUAUCACUGAAGGAGGGGAUUGCGUCUGAUUAGCUAGUUGGAGGGGUAACGGCCCACCAAGGCGAUGAUCAGUAGCCGGUCUGAGAGGAUGAACGGCCACAUUGGGACUGAGACACGGCCCAGACUCCUACGGGAGGCAGCAGUGGGGAAUCUUCCGCAAUGGACGAAAGUCUGACGGAGCAACGCCGCGUGAGUGAUGACGGCCUUCGGGUUGU
RNAcentral lists this ribosomal RNA (421 nucleotides) under uncultured bacterium. RNAcentral describes it as "bacterial SSU rRNA". It matches the Rfam family "Bacterial small subunit ribosomal RNA", at positions 28 to 426 of the family's 1533-position model. The record is from RNAcentral.